CGCCUGCCCCGUGACCCAAAAAGUUUAACCGCCGCCGUAUUUUGACCGUGCCAAGGUAGCGUAAUCACUUGUCUUUUAAAUGAAGACCGGUAUGAAUGGCAACACGAGGGCUCAGCUGUCUCCCGCCUCCAGUCAAUGAAAUUGAUCUGCCCGUGCAGAAGCGGACAUAACAACAUAAGACGAGAAGACCCUGUGGAGCUUAAGCACAAGGCCAACCAUGCCAAACAUCCCACCCAAAGGCAUAAGCACAACAACCACUGGCCACACAUGCUUCGGUUGGGGCAUCCGCGGAGAAAAAUCAAACCUCCAUGUGGACCAAGGAUACAAUCCUCAAAACCAAGAGACACAGCUCUAAGCAGCAGAAAAUCUGACCAAAAGACCCAGGCCAACACGCCUGAUCAACGAACCAAGUUACCCCAGGGAUAACAGCGCAAUCCUCUCCCAGAGUCCAUAUCGACGAAAGGGUUUACGACCUCGAUGUUGGAUCAGGACAUCCUAAUGGUGCAGCCGCUAUUAAGGGUUCGUUUGUUCAA
This 533-nucleotide ribosomal RNA is filed under the name Megalops atlanticus (tarpon). Its description in RNAcentral is "partial 16S ribosomal RNA". It matches the Rfam family "Bacterial large subunit ribosomal RNA", at positions 1856 to 2584 of the family's 2925-position model. The record is from RNAcentral. Lineage: Eukaryota; Metazoa; Chordata; Actinopteri; Elopiformes; Megalopidae.